This 492-nucleotide ribosomal RNA is filed under the name uncultured bacterium. RNAcentral describes it as "partial 16S ribosomal RNA". It matches the Rfam family "Bacterial small subunit ribosomal RNA", at positions 28 to 507 of the family's 1533-position model. The record is from RNAcentral.
GGUGAACGCUGGCGAUAGGCCUAACACAUGCAAGUCGAACGGCAGCACAGUAAGAGCUUGCUCUUACGGGUGGCGAGUGGCGGACGGGUGAGGAAUACAUCGGAAUCUACUUUUUCGUGGGGGAUAACGUAGGGAAACUUACGCUAAUACCGCAUACGACCUACGGGUGAAAGCAGGGGAUCUUCGGACCUUGCGCGAUUGAAUGAGCCGAUGUCGGAUUAGCUAGUUGGCGGGGUAAAGGCCCACCAAGGCGACGAUCCGUAGCUGGUCUGAGAGGAUGAUCAGCCACACUGGAACUGAGACACGGUCCAGACUCCUACGGGAGGCAGCAGUGGGGAAUAUUGGACAAUGGGCGCAAGCCUGAUCCAGCCAUACCGCGUGGGUGAAGAAGGCCUUCGGGUUGUAAAGCCCUUUUGUUGGGAAAGAAAAGCAGCAGGUUAAUACCCCGCUGUUCUGACGGUACCCAAAGAAUAAGCACCGGCUAACUUCGUG